CCUACGGGUGGCAGCAGUGAGGAAUAUUGGUCAAUGGGCUAAAGCCUGAACCAGCCAAGUCGCGUGAGGGAAGACGGUCCUAUGGAUUGUAAACCUCUUUUGUCCGGGAGCAACGAGGCCACGUGUGGCCUCAGUGAGAGUACCCGACGAACUAGCAUCGGCUAACUCCGUGCCUGCAGCCGCGGUAAUCCGGGGGAUGCGAGAGUUAUCCGGAUUUAUUGGGUUAAAAGGGUGCGUAGGCGGAACAUUAAGUCAGCGGUAAAAUCGGGGGGCUCAACCCCUUUAAGCCGUGGAAACUGGUGAUCUUGAGUGGGCGAGAAGUAAGCGGAAUGCGUGGUGUAGCGGUGAAAUGCAUAGAUAUCACGCAGAACUCCGAUUGCGAAGGCAGCAUACCGGGGCCCGACUGACGCUGAGGAACGAAAGCGUGGGGAUCGAACAGGAUUAUAUACCCUGGUAGUC
This 459-nucleotide ribosomal RNA is filed under the name uncultured bacterium. RNAcentral describes it as "partial 16S ribosomal RNA". It matches the Rfam family "Bacterial small subunit ribosomal RNA", at positions 338 to 795 of the family's 1533-position model. The record is from RNAcentral.